AGUUGCUACUACUGAAGGAUCAGGAUAUGAUCCAAGCAAAGACCCAACAAGAAAGGCCAAAUCAAAUGACCCUGGGUGGAAGUAUGGGUAUUGGCCAGAUCUAACAAACAAGAAUGUUGUUAAAUGUACCUUUUGUG
Long non-coding RNA from Telopea speciosissima, 137 nucleotides. RefSeq lists it as uncharacterized. NCBI's taxonomy places the organism in Eukaryota, Viridiplantae, Streptophyta, Magnoliopsida, Proteales, Proteaceae. The transcript is spliced from 4 exons. The record is from RefSeq and is a predicted model, not a curated record.